This 431-nucleotide ribosomal RNA is filed under the name uncultured bacterium. RNAcentral describes it as "bacterial SSU rRNA". It matches the Rfam family "Bacterial small subunit ribosomal RNA", at positions 29 to 507 of the family's 1533-position model. The record is from RNAcentral.
AACGAACGCUGGCGGCAGGCCUAACACAUGCAAGUCGAGCGAGACCUUCGGGUCUAGCGGCGGACGGGUUAGUAACGCGUGGGAACAUGCCCUUCUCUGCGGAAUAGCCACUGGAAACGGUGAGUAAUACCGCAUACGCCCUUCGGGGAAAGAUUUAUCGGAGAAGGAUCGGCCCGCGUUAGAUUAGAUAGUUGGUGGGUAACGGCCUACCAAGUCUACGAUCUAUAGCUGGUUUUAGGGGAUGAUCAGCAACACUGGGACUGAGACACGGCCCAGACUCCUACGGGAGGCAGCAGUGGGGAAUCUUAGACAAUGGGCGCAAGCCUGAUCUAGCCAUGCCGCGUGUGUGAUGAAGGUCUUAGGAUCGUAAAGCACUUUCGCCAGGGAUGAUAAUGACAGUACCUGGUAAAGAAACCCCGGCUAACUCCGUG